Molecule: small RNA, 139 nt
Filed under: Lyngbya confervoides
Lineage: Bacteria; Bacillati; Cyanobacteriota; Cyanophyceae; Oscillatoriales; Microcoleaceae
Also listed under: 1 other name
Description: Guanidine-I sequence
Rfam family: Guanidine-I riboswitch aptamer
About the family: This family represents a conserved RNA structure found upstream of the ykkC and yxkD genes in Bacillus subtilis and related genes in other bacteria. The function of this family is unclear although it has been suggested that it may function to switch on efflux pumps and detoxification systems in response to harmful environmental molecules.
Source: RNAcentral
CUUACGAGCUUCUAGGGUUCCGGCUCAGCGGUGUUAUCGGCGCUUGAGUGCCUGGUCCGAGAGAAGCGGCUGGUUUAGGAAUUUCUGAGCAGGCCUCAGACGUUUUGCCAGUACACGGCGGGAUAAAAGCCCGGGAGGU